GAAGCUGACCAGACAGUCGCCGCUUCGUCGUCGUCCUUUCGGGGAGACGGGCGGAGGGGAGGAAAGUCCGGGCUCCAUAGGGCAGGGUGCCAGGUAACGCCUGGGGGGGAAACCCACGACCAGUGCAACAGAGAGCAAACCGCCGAUGGCCCACGUAAGUGGGAUCAGGUAAGGGUGAAAGGGUGUGGUAAGAGCGCACCGCGCGGCUGGUAACAGUCCGUGGCACGGUAAACUCCACCCGGAGCAAGGCCAAAUAGGGGUUCAUAAGGUACGGCCCGUACUGAACCCGGGUAGGCUGCUUGAGCCAGUGAGCGAUUGCUGGCCUAGAUGAAUGACUGUCCACGACAGAACCCGGCUUAUCGGUCAGUUUCACCU
RNAcentral lists this RNase P RNA (375 nucleotides) under Salmonella enterica. RNAcentral describes it as "RNase P RNA component class A". It matches the Rfam family "Bacterial RNase P class A". From Rfam's summary of the family: Ribonuclease P (RNase P) is a ubiquitous endoribonuclease, found in archaea, bacteria and eukarya as well as chloroplasts and mitochondria. Its best characterised activity is the generation of mature 5'-ends of tRNAs by cleaving the 5'-leader elements of precursor-tRNAs. Cellular RNase Ps are ribonucleoproteins. RNAcentral also lists the same sequence under 4 other names. Lineage: Bacteria; Pseudomonadati; Pseudomonadota; Gammaproteobacteria; Enterobacterales; Enterobacteriaceae. The record is from RNAcentral.